Molecule: long non-coding RNA, 262 nt
Organism: Toxotes jaculatrix (banded archerfish)
Lineage: Eukaryota; Metazoa; Chordata; Actinopteri; Toxotidae
Exons: 3
Source: RefSeq, a predicted model, not a curated record
CGUUACAGGCAUGGCUAUCUGCGAUAAUCCAGAAAUGUCACCACAAGCAGCGUCACCGUUGGUCACUUGUAGAACAACACAUGUCGCUGUGAAGCUGCCUCGUGAAACCAAACUGAGGAAGGUGAAAGAGCUCGAUUUUUUCACCAGCGAAGGAUACUCAGUGAGACAACAGAAGACCUCCAGUGCAUUAAUUGUGGAUAUAUCUAAGUUACCAGACAGAGAUUCAGCAUUUGAACUGGUUUAUACUGACACUGCUGGGAGA